This 484-nucleotide ribosomal RNA is filed under the name uncultured bacterium. RNAcentral describes it as "partial 16S ribosomal RNA". It matches the Rfam family "Bacterial small subunit ribosomal RNA", at positions 30 to 507 of the family's 1533-position model. The record is from RNAcentral.
AUUGAACGCUGGCGGCAGGCCUAACACAUGCAAGUCGAGCGGAUGAAGGGAGCUUGCUCCUGGAUUCAGCGUCGGACGGGUGAGUAAUGCCUAGGAAUCUGCCUGGUAGUGGUGGAUAACGUCCGGAAACGGGCGCUAAUACCGCAUACGUCCUGAUGGAGAAAGUGGGGGAUCUUCGGACCUCACGCUAUCAGAUGAGCCUAGGUCGGAUUAGCUAGUUGGUGGGGUAACGGCCUACUAAGGCGAGGAUCCGUAACUGGUCGGAGAGGAUGAUCAGUCACACUGGAACUGAGACACGGUCAAGACUCCUACGGGAGGCAGCAGUGGGGAAUAUUGGACAAUGGGCGAAAGUCUGAUCCAGCCAUGCCGAGUGUGUGAAGAAGGUCUUCGGAUUGUAAAGCACUUUAAGUUGGGAGGAAGGGCAGUAAGUUAAUACCUUGCUGUUUUGACGUUACCAACAGAAUAAGCACCGGCUAACUUCGUG